Non-coding RNA from Glycine soja, 127 nucleotides. The record is from Rfam. NCBI's taxonomy places the organism in Eukaryota, Viridiplantae, Streptophyta, Magnoliopsida, Fabales, Fabaceae.
UUCACAAAGAAGGGUUGAUUGACACGUGUCACGUUCUGAUUAGACAUGAAAAGGUGUGCUCAAGAGUUAGUUCUAAUAUUUUAUGUUGACCGUCCAAUCAGAACGUGACACGUGAUCAUUAACGUUC